This 180-nucleotide unclassified non-coding RNA is filed under the name Epicoccum sp. Mc4-ITS12. RNAcentral's name for it is "sequence contains 18S rRNA gene, ITS1 and 5.8S rRNA gene". The stretch from base 131 to 180 matches the Rfam family "5.8S ribosomal RNA", at positions 1 to 50 of the family's 154-position model. The record is from RNAcentral. Lineage: Eukaryota; Fungi; Ascomycota; Dothideomycetes; Pleosporales; Didymellaceae.
GGACUUCGGUCUGCUACCUCUUACCCAUGUCUUUUGAGUACCUUCGUUUCCUCGGCGGGUCGCCCGCCGGUUGGACAACAUUCAAACCCUUUGCAGUUGCAAUCAGCGUCUGAAAAAACUUAAUAGUUACAACUUUCAACAACGGAUCUCUUGGUUCUGGCAUCGAUGAAGAACGCAGCA